AUUCACUCCCCGGGUCUCCCCCUCCUCUCUCUCUCUUUUGCUCUCUCUCUCUGUCUCUCUUUUGCUCUCUCUCUCCUUCCUCCCUCCUCCCCUCCUCUUUCAGCUCCUUCUGCUAUAAGAGAAAAGGGAGACAACUGCAGCCACACCCUAGCACCUAGCACCUGCCACCACCUCUGAAGUUCCUGCAUUGCCUGUACCUUCUCCGCACAUGCUGGAGACUGUGGGGUUAAGAGCUGCACCCUUGCUGCCUGAGAGUCCCUUGGAUUCCAGCACUGACUUUAUAAUUAACCACGUUAAGGAUUCCCCUGAACUUCCUUUCUCAGUAUAACCAGGAACAGAAGUUAAGAGAUUUUGAAAAGUGACUCUUGGGGCACAAAACUGCAUGAGAGACAGAACCCUGCAAAGUGAAUUGCCCCGUAUUUCUCAGGAACUGCAACGUAGUCAGCAACCAGACCCUAAUCAGCUAAGACAGGGCUGCUCUGCUGCUCUGUCUACAAUUUAGUUAGCUCCAGGGCUGGGGAGAGAGGGUUGUGGGCUCAUCUGUUCACGGGGGCAAAAGGGUGGAAGUGAGUAGGAGACAUGCAUCUCGUUAAGCAGGACAUCUGUUUCAGAGAAGAAGUGGGGCAAGUUUGGGAACUGUGCAAGAACAUAAAGGCAAAGACAGACCCUUGAAGCAUCACUAAGAAUGAUUGCUUAUUGUACAUGGAUCCAAUUCCAGCAGUUACAGAGAGGGAGGUAGGGAGAGAGACAAACACAGAGCUAGAGAAAUUGAAAGAGAAACAUUCUCGAAGGCAAAGAGUUGAAAGGUGAAUCUACUAAGAAAAGAAUAACAGAGUGCAAUUAGCCAUGGAACUACAUCUCCAUCUGCCUCCUUUAAAGGAUGAGUCCUUUAAAGAGCCUUUGGAAGGAAUUGGGCCAUGAGAAGAGCCCUCAUGAAUGGGAUUAGUUCCCUUAUAAGAAGAGACACCAAGGAAGUGAUCUUUCUCUGCCCUCUGCUAUGUGAAGACAAGGUAAGAAGACAGCUAUGAACCAAGAAGCAGGCCCUUACCAGACACCAAAUCUGCUGGUGCAUUGAUCUUGGACUUCUCAGCCUCCAGGACUGUGAGAAAUAAAUGUUUAUUGUUGAAGCCACCCAGUCUACAGUAAUUUGUUAUAGCAGCUGAAAUUGACUAAGACAAUUUAAAAAAAUUAAUCUCAUUGACUAUCAAUUUGGAUUCUGGAGCAUACCUGGAUUCAGGUCAUCUGCAGUUUUUUGUUGUUGUUGAUGAUCUUCCUGUCAUAGACAAUGCUGUAACAAACAGACUAGAGAUAAUAAGCUCACUUUACCUCAGGACCUUUGCAGCAGCUCUGCCCUGUGCUUAGAUUGAUCUGUCACGAAACCUUAAAGUCUGGCUGAUUCUCAUUCUUCAGAUU
RNAcentral lists this long non-coding RNA (1413 nucleotides) under Homo sapiens (human). RNAcentral describes it as "PREDICTED lncRNA (TCONS_00212425)". The record is from RNAcentral. Lineage: Eukaryota; Metazoa; Chordata; Mammalia; Primates; Hominidae.